AGAGCGAACGCUGGCGGCAGGCUUAACACAUGCAAGUCGAGCGGGCGUAGCAAUACGUCAGCGGCAGACGGGUGAGUAACGCGUGGGAACGUACCUUUUGGUUCGGAACAACCCAGGGAAACUUGGGCUAAUACCGGAUAAGCCCUUACGGGGAAAGAUUUAUCGCCGAAAGAUCGGCCCGCGUCUGAUUAGCUAGUUGGUGAGGUAAUGGCUCACCAAGGCGACGAUCAGUAGCUGGUCUGAGAGGAUGAUCAGCCACAUUGGGACUGAGACACGGCCCAAACUCCUACCGGGAGGCAGCAGUGGGGAAUAUUGGACAAUGGGCGCAAGCCUGAUCCAGCCAUGCCGCGUGAGUGAUGAAGGCCCUAGGGUUGUAAAGCUCUUUUGUGCGGGAAGAUAAUGACGGUACCGCAAGAAUAAGCCCCGGCUAACUUCGUGCCAGCAGCCGC
RNAcentral lists this ribosomal RNA (449 nucleotides) under uncultured bacterium. RNAcentral's name for it is "SSU rRNA". It matches the Rfam family "Bacterial small subunit ribosomal RNA", at positions 26 to 518 of the family's 1533-position model. The record is from RNAcentral.